This 88-nucleotide transfer RNA is filed under the name Verrucomicrobiales bacterium. Its description in RNAcentral is "tRNA-Leu". It matches the Rfam family "tRNA". Rfam says of the family: Transfer RNA (tRNA) molecules are approximately 80 nucleotides in length. Their secondary structure includes four short double-helical elements and three loops (D, anti-codon, and T loops). Further hydrogen bonds mediate the characteristic L-shaped molecular structure. tRNAs have two regions of fundamental functional importance: the anti-codon, which is responsible for specific mRNA codon recognition, and the 3' end, to which the tRNAs corresponding amino acid is attached (by aminoacyl-tRNA synthetases). tRNAs cope with the degeneracy of the genetic code in two manners: having more than one tRNA (with a specific anti-codon) for a particular amino acid; and 'wobble' base-pairing, i.e. permitting non-standard base-pairing at the 3rd anti-codon position. The record is from RNAcentral. Lineage: Bacteria; Pseudomonadati; Verrucomicrobiota; Verrucomicrobiia; Verrucomicrobiales.
GCCCGAGUGGUGGAAUGGUAGACACACAGGACUUAAAAUCCUGAGAGGCGAAAGCCUCGUGCCGGUUCGAGUCCGGCCUCGGGUACCA